This 505-nucleotide ribosomal RNA is filed under the name uncultured bacterium. RNAcentral describes it as "bacterial SSU rRNA". It matches the Rfam family "Bacterial small subunit ribosomal RNA", at positions 9 to 530 of the family's 1533-position model. The record is from RNAcentral.
GAGUUUGAUCCUGGCUCAGGACGAACGCUGGCGGCGUGCUUAACACAUGCAAGUCGAGCGAUGAAACUUCUUUUAGAAGUGGAUUAGCGGCGGACGGGUGAGUAGCACGUGGGCAACCUGCCCUAUAGAGGGGAAUAGCCUUUCGAAAGGAAGAUUAAUACCCCAUAAGAUUGUAGUUUCACAUGGAACAGCAAUUAAAGGAGUAAUCCGCUAUAGGAUGGGCCCGCGGCGCAUUAGCUAGUUGGUGAGGUAACGGCUCACCAAGGCGACGAUGCGUAGCCGACCUGAGAGGGUGAUCGGCCACGUUGGGACUGAGACACGGCCCAGACUCCUACGGGAGGCAGCAGUGGGGAAUAUUGCACAAUGGGGGAAACCCUGAUGCAGCAGCGCCACGUGAGUGAUGACGGCGUUCGGGUUGUAAAGCUCUGUCUUUGGGGACGAUAAUGACGGUACCCAAGGAGGAAGCCACGGCUAACUACGUGCCAGCAGCCGCGGUGAUACGUAG